Molecule: transfer RNA, 73 nt
Filed under: Canis lupus familiaris (dog)
Lineage: Eukaryota; Metazoa; Chordata; Mammalia; Carnivora; Canidae
Also listed under: 1 other name
Rfam family: tRNA
About the family: Transfer RNA (tRNA) molecules are approximately 80 nucleotides in length. Their secondary structure includes four short double-helical elements and three loops (D, anti-codon, and T loops).
Source: Rfam by way of RNAcentral
ACCUGGUUGGCUCAGUGGGUAGAGCACUGGACUCAGGAUCUUGGGAUCAUGAGUUCAAGCCCCACAUGAGGUA